UAGCUCAGUUGGUAGAGUGUUUGCCUCACAUACACAAGGCCCUGGGUUCAAUCCCCAG
RNAcentral lists this transfer RNA (58 nucleotides) under Ictidomys tridecemlineatus (thirteen-lined ground squirrel). RNAcentral's name for it is "Spermophilus tridecemlineatus (thirteen-lined ground squirrel) tRNA". It matches the Rfam family "tRNA", at positions 8 to 63 of the family's 71-position model. Rfam says of the family: Transfer RNA (tRNA) molecules are approximately 80 nucleotides in length. Their secondary structure includes four short double-helical elements and three loops (D, anti-codon, and T loops). The record is from Rfam by way of RNAcentral. Lineage: Eukaryota; Metazoa; Chordata; Mammalia; Rodentia; Sciuridae. RNAcentral also lists the same sequence under 1 other name.